UCAUGGUUGAGUGGUAAGGACACUUGCCUCUCACCUAGGAGUCCCGGGUUCGAUCCCCGGUUGAGGAG
RNAcentral lists this transfer RNA (68 nucleotides) under Rhamnusium bicolor. Its description in RNAcentral is "tRNA-OTHER". The record is from RNAcentral. Lineage: Eukaryota; Metazoa; Arthropoda; Insecta; Coleoptera; Cerambycidae.